This 24-nucleotide small nuclear RNA is filed under the name Arabidopsis thaliana (thale cress). RNAcentral's name for it is "snRNA_09961". The record is from RNAcentral. Lineage: Eukaryota; Viridiplantae; Streptophyta; Magnoliopsida; Brassicales; Brassicaceae.
UUUGCUAUUAGUGACAAGCUAAAA